GUCAAUUUUCUGACAGAAUAUAUCCUGCGAGCUCCGUAUUCCCAUUGGAAGCCUCAAAUAACGGNAWCUANCAAAUGGGCUGNUAAAUGYCGUCAAGYAUGAAGACYCGUCCGUCAAUUUGAUCGACSAAUAACCUUUCGUUGCGUCUAGUACGCUAAAAUAGCGCGCACUUGUUAAUUUGGUCGUCACGUCCUCUAUGGUUCUCAUUGGAUAGUGAGGUCUCAGUAUAUUGKCGUUCAGUGCUUUUNGGAUCUAAGUAAACCCUUAAUUUGCCGGUGCUGGGCNUUUCCACACAAACUAGAGAGUUAACCCAGUCAGUCGGUCUCGUCACUUUCUCAAUAAUACCUUUGUCUGUCAUUGCNUUUAGUUCGUUKUUUAACCGGUCCUGCAANGCUGCAGGUACUCGCCUUGGUGGGCAUACAACAGGAACUGCGUCAGAUUUUAAGUGCAAACUGCACUCCCCUGGGAAUAAACCAAUACCACUAAAUAGUUCCUUGUAGUUAGACAUGACAUUUUGUUUGUUUAAUGACACCUGUUGUUUUUCAAUAGCAUAAGUCAGUUUAAUUAAACCAAGGUCGACCGAAGUCUGCAAGCUUAACAAAGCUGGAUAUUUACUGCCUACUACAUGAAAACACGUGACCACCUCUCUUUCUUUGAACUUGCAAGGCAAAUUGACCUUUCCAUGAACUAGAAUAGGGUCCUUUGUGUAUGAGGAUAGCCUAUCAUCAGAGGGUAGCAAGGGGCCAGU
This 748-nucleotide small RNA is filed under the name Spisula solidissima (Atlantic surf clam). RNAcentral's name for it is "cnRNA65". Lineage: Eukaryota; Metazoa; Mollusca; Bivalvia; Venerida; Mactridae. The record is from RNAcentral.